UACGUAGGUCCCGAGCGUUAUCCGGAUUUAUUGGGCGUAAAGCGAGCGCAGGUGGUUUGUUAAGUCUGGUGUAAAAGGCAGUGGCUCAACCAUUGUAUGCAUUGGAAACUGGUAGACUUGAGUGCAGGAGAGGAGAGUGGAAUUCCAUGUGUAGCGGUGAAAUGCGUAGAUAUAUGGAGGAACACCGGUGGCGAAAGCGGCUCUCUGGCCUGUAACUGACACUGAGGCUCGAAAGCGUGGGGAGCAAACAGG
RNAcentral lists this ribosomal RNA (252 nucleotides) under uncultured bacterium. RNAcentral describes it as "partial 16S ribosomal RNA". It matches the Rfam family "Bacterial small subunit ribosomal RNA", at positions 524 to 776 of the family's 1533-position model. The record is from RNAcentral.